GGUCUCUUAGCUCAGUGGCUAGAGCGAGAGAUUGCAGAUCUCUAGGUCGCGUGUUCGAUUCACGCAGAGACCU
RNAcentral lists this transfer RNA (73 nucleotides) under Trichoderma reesei QM6a. RNAcentral's name for it is "tRNA-Cys (GCA) (tRNA-Cys-GCA-2-1)". It matches the Rfam family "tRNA". Rfam says of the family: Transfer RNA (tRNA) molecules are approximately 80 nucleotides in length. Their secondary structure includes four short double-helical elements and three loops (D, anti-codon, and T loops). Lineage: Eukaryota; Fungi; Ascomycota; Sordariomycetes; Hypocreales; Hypocreaceae. The record is from RNAcentral. RNAcentral also lists the same sequence under 2 other names.